RNAcentral lists this transfer RNA (96 nucleotides) under Actinomadura rubteroloni. Its description in RNAcentral is "Actinomadura sp. RB29 tRNA-Arg". Lineage: Bacteria; Bacillati; Actinomycetota; Actinomycetes; Streptosporangiales; Thermomonosporaceae. The record is from RNAcentral.
GCCGACUGGCGGCUCGGGUUCGUGGUGCUCGCCGUCGUCGGCGCGGCGGCGAUCGCGACGUCGUUCGCGCUGCCGUUCGGCCCGGCGCGCCCGGCG